UACAGAGGGGGCAAGCGUUGUUCGGAAUUACUGGGCGUAAAGGGCGCGUAGGCGGCCUGCUAAGUCGAACGUGAAAUCCCCGGGCUCAACCCGGGAACUGCGUCCGAUACUGGUGGGCUUGAAUCCGGGAGAGGGAUGUGGAAUUCCAGGUGUAGCGGUGAAAUUCGUAGAUAUCUGGAGGAACAUCGGUGGCGAAGGCGGCAUCCUGGACCGGUAUUGACGCUGAGGCGCGAAAGCCAGGGGAGCAAACGGG
RNAcentral lists this ribosomal RNA (253 nucleotides) under uncultured bacterium. RNAcentral describes it as "partial 16S ribosomal RNA". It matches the Rfam family "Bacterial small subunit ribosomal RNA", at positions 524 to 776 of the family's 1533-position model. The record is from RNAcentral.